GCCCAAAUAGCUUGGUCAGUAGAGCAUGAGACUCUUAAUCUCAGGGUUGUGGGUUCAUGCCCCUGUUGGGCA
Molecule: transfer RNA, 72 nt
Filed under: Bos taurus (domestic cattle)
Lineage: Eukaryota; Metazoa; Chordata; Mammalia; Artiodactyla; Bovidae
Also listed under: 1 other name
Rfam family: tRNA
About the family: Transfer RNA (tRNA) molecules are approximately 80 nucleotides in length. Their secondary structure includes four short double-helical elements and three loops (D, anti-codon, and T loops).
Source: Rfam by way of RNAcentral